CGGUAAUUCCAGCUCCAGUAGCGUAUAUUAAAGUUGUUGCAGUUGAAACGCUCGUAGUCGGACUUCUUCCUCUUUGUAGGAAUUCGCCGAUCGCCUCACUGACCUUCACGGGUUGGUGGGUCUACGACGGCAUGUCACCUUGAGAAAAUUAGAGUGUUCAAGGCAGGCAAUCCCUGAAUACUGUAGCAUGGAAUGGCGCGCUAAUGCAGGCACGAGUCGCUGGUGUUCGUGCGAGGCAAAGGUCGAUAGGGGCAGUAGUGGGCAUUGGUAUUGGGUAGUGAGAGGUGAAAUUCUUGGACCUACUCAAGACCAACAUGUGCGAAAGCAUCUUGCCAAGGAUGCCUUCAUUGAUCAAGAACGAAGGUCGGGGGAUCGAAGACGAUCAGAUACCGUCGUAGUCCUGACUGUAAACUAUGCCGACUGGGGAUCCGAGGCGCAGAUAAACGACGCUUUGGGCACCCUCCGAGAAAUCAAAGUCUUUGGGUUCUGGGGGAAGUAUGGUCGCAAGGCUGAAACUUGAAGGAAUUGACGGAAGGGCACCACCAGGCGUGGAGCUUGCGGCUUAAUUUGACUCAACACAGGAAAACUUACCAGGCCCAGACAUGGCGAGGAUUGACAGACCGACCGCUCUUUCUCGAUCCCAUGGGUGGUGGUGCAUGGCCGUUCUUAGUUGGUGGAGUGAUCUGUCUGGUUGAUUCCGGUAACGAACGAGACCUUGGCCUGCUAACUAGUACAAUAAGUGCGCUUAAUGUCACUUCUUAGAGGGACACCGGUGGUUACACCGAGGAAGUUCGAGGCAAUAACAGGUCUGUGAUGCCCUUAGAUGUCCUGGGCCGCACGCGUGCUACACUGAUACAGUCAGCGAGUUUCAAAGUUGAAAAACCAAGAUAAUCUCUAAACUGUAUCGUGAUGGGGACAGUUCUUUGCAAUUAUGGAACUCCAACGAGGAAUGCCUAGUAAGUGCAAGUCAUCAGCUUGUGCUGAUUACGUCCCUGCCCUUUGUACACACCGCCCGUCGCUCCUACCGAUUUCGAGUGGUUAGGUGAGUUACUUGGACUGCUUUUUGUAGGAAGAGUAACAAAUCUUGCUACUUAGAGGAAGGAGAAGUCGUAACAAGGUAACC
Molecule: ribosomal RNA, 1123 nt
Filed under: uncultured eukaryote
Lineage: Eukaryota
Description: bacterial SSU rRNA
Rfam family: Eukaryotic small subunit ribosomal RNA
Source: RNAcentral